CUGGGAGGGGGUCGCAGAGGCCAAAAUAGCAGCUCUGGAAGCAGGGUCCAAAGGGGUGGAACUGGAGGAGGGGAGUGUGGGGGGCAGCCCUGAGGGAGGGGAAAGAGGCUAAACAAAUAAUCCCGAAGAAAGAGCCAAGCUAUGCUUGUGGGGGAGGAUAUCCGCGGUUGGGGUCCGAAGCCAAAGGACUAGCCUUGGGCAGAGGGUCUGAGUGGGUGGCUCUGGAGGAGGUGGGAAUGAGAGACAGCCUGGGGGAGGGGACUGAGGAGCUGCCCGGGGCUACUGGCAGGGUUGCAGGGGAUGGGCUAAAGAAACAGCCCUGGAGGAGUGUGUCUGAGAGGGUGGCACUGGAGAAGAGAGGGCAGGAAAGAGGCUUCAGGACAUGUCACAACAGAUUGACUGCAGAAGCAGAUGGGAAAAAUAAAGUCUACAUGCUGACUGAGAAUGAUCCAGUAGAGAGGGAAAAAUUGAUGCUGCAGGAGAGAAUUGCUGGAGCAGUGUCCUUGAAUACGCAAGUGUACAGGUGGAGAGCUUGGCUAUGUGCUUGGAUAAUCCAUCCAUGGAAGAAACUAACUUGCUAGCUCAACCACAGGAUAGAGAUCCUUGCUUCUUAUAAUGGAAGGAAACGGUUGAGUGGUCACAAGACUCUGCAGCACUGGGCAGCUCUUGGUGCUGGAGGGCCCUAGGCCUGAAGCCAGACACGAUUAUGCAAAAGAUAAAGACAAAAAGGCAAUAGAAGAAUAGAGAAGAGUGAAGUUCUUAUUUGGGAUCUGAAAGGAAAUAUAGAUGGGAAGCUGGAGAGCACAAUCCAGAUGAGGAAGUUUCCCUGCCUUCUCUCCUUCCUCUGAAUUACCAUUGCAGCAGCUAAUAUUUACUGAGGGCUUGUUAUGUGCAAGGCAAUUAUCUACGUUCCAUCACUUAAUCCUCACAACUAUCUCACGAGGUGGAUUCUAAGGAGAGGGUGAGAGAAGUCAUUUACCCAAUGACACACCUGGAAAACAGCAAAACCAGAAAUAAAACCCAAGUGUCUGACACUAAA
RNAcentral lists this long non-coding RNA (1039 nucleotides) under Equus caballus (horse). Its description in RNAcentral is "lncRNA (ENSECAG00000044573.1)". The record is from RNAcentral. Lineage: Eukaryota; Metazoa; Chordata; Mammalia; Perissodactyla; Equidae.